GUGGGGAAUAUUGGACAAUGGGGGGAACCCUGAUCCAGCCAUGCCGCGUGUGUGAAGAAGGCCUUUUGGUUGUAAAGCACUUUAAGCGAGGAGGAGGCUACCGAGAUUAAUACUCUUGGAUAGUGGACGUUACUCGCAGAAUAAGCACCGGCUAACUCUGUGCCAGCAGCCGCGGUAAUACAGAGGGUGCAAGCGUUAAUCGGAUUUACUGGGCGUAAAGCGCGCGUAGGUGGCCAAUUAAGUCAAAUGUGAAAUCCCCGAGCUUAACUUGGGAAUUGCAUUCGAUACUGGUUGGCUAGAGUAUGGGAGAGGAUGGUAGAAUUCCAGGUGUAGCGGUGAAAUGCGUAGAGAUCUGGAGGAAUACCGAUGGCGAAGGCAGCCAUCUGGCCUAAUACUGACUCUGAGGUGCGAAAGCAUGGGGAGCAAACAGGAUUAGAUACCCUGGUAGUCC
RNAcentral lists this ribosomal RNA (451 nucleotides) under uncultured bacterium. RNAcentral's name for it is "partial 16S ribosomal RNA". It matches the Rfam family "Bacterial small subunit ribosomal RNA", at positions 354 to 796 of the family's 1533-position model. The record is from RNAcentral.